This 253-nucleotide ribosomal RNA is filed under the name uncultured bacterium. RNAcentral describes it as "partial 16S ribosomal RNA". It matches the Rfam family "Bacterial small subunit ribosomal RNA", at positions 524 to 776 of the family's 1533-position model. The record is from RNAcentral.
UACGAAGGGGGCUAGCGUUGCUCGGAAUCACUGGGCGUAAAGCGCACGUAGGCGGCUUUUUAAGUCAGGGGUGAAAUCCUGGAGCUCAACUCCAGAACUGCCUUCGAUACUGAGAGGCUUGAGUCCGGGAGAGGUGAGUGGAACUGCGAGUGUAGAGGUGAAAUUCGUAGAUAUUCGCAAGAACACCAGUGGCGAAGGCGGCUCACUGGCCCGGUACUGACGCUGAGGUGCGAAAGCGUGGGGAGCAAACAGG